This 253-nucleotide ribosomal RNA is filed under the name uncultured bacterium. Its description in RNAcentral is "partial 16S ribosomal RNA". It matches the Rfam family "Bacterial small subunit ribosomal RNA", at positions 524 to 776 of the family's 1533-position model. The record is from RNAcentral.
CACGGGGGGAGCAAGCGUUGUUCGGAAUCACUGGGCGUAAAGGGCGCGUAGGCGGCCUGGCAAGUGGAAGGUGAAAUCCCUCGGCUUAACCGAGGAACUGCCCUCCAAACUGCUUGGCUUGAGUCCGGGAGAGGUGAGUGGAAUUCCCAGUGUAGCGGUGAAAUGCGUAGAUAUUGGGAGGAACACCAGUGGCGAAGGCGGCUCACUGGACCGGAACUGACGCUGAGGCGCGAAAGCGUGGGGAGCAAACGGG